RNAcentral lists this long non-coding RNA (441 nucleotides) under Nicotiana tabacum (common tobacco). RNAcentral describes it as "long non-coding RNA (NTAB_LNC012381)". Lineage: Eukaryota; Viridiplantae; Streptophyta; Magnoliopsida; Solanales; Solanaceae. The record is from RNAcentral.
ACACUGCCAAUCAACGUAAGCAGUGCUGCCUUCGCUUUGAAGCUCUCACUUUUAAGCAACUUCUGAAAUCUCGGCAACGACUUCCUCAAACAGGCAAUAUCCGGAUCUGGCGACGCCUCGAUAGCCGCCGCCAAGCACAAGGAGGCGCCGAUCUGCGAGUUCAUCUCCUGUUCCGUGAAAAGCGCUUCCAGGAACGGCUUGAUAAUGGAUGAGAACGGAGGUCUAGUCAAGUGCGACGAAAUGGAAGCACAAGCAGACACGCAGGCGGCGCGUACAGCGGAAUCAGGAUCACGGAGGCGGCGGACGACGGCGGUGAGAAGCUUCGAGAGAUGAGGAGAGAGUGAGUCGCCGUGGUGCUCGGAGAGAAGAGAGAUGAGGCGGAGGCAUUGUUUACGGACUGGAGAUUUAUCGGAGGAAUCGGUAGCGGCAAUGGAGGAAACA